This 85-nucleotide transfer RNA is filed under the name Actinomycetota bacterium. RNAcentral's name for it is "tRNA-Leu". It matches the Rfam family "tRNA". Rfam says of the family: Transfer RNA (tRNA) molecules are approximately 80 nucleotides in length. Their secondary structure includes four short double-helical elements and three loops (D, anti-codon, and T loops). Further hydrogen bonds mediate the characteristic L-shaped molecular structure. tRNAs have two regions of fundamental functional importance: the anti-codon, which is responsible for specific mRNA codon recognition, and the 3' end, to which the tRNAs corresponding amino acid is attached (by aminoacyl-tRNA synthetases). tRNAs cope with the degeneracy of the genetic code in two manners: having more than one tRNA (with a specific anti-codon) for a particular amino acid; and 'wobble' base-pairing, i.e. permitting non-standard base-pairing at the 3rd anti-codon position. RNAcentral also lists the same sequence under 1 other name. The record is from RNAcentral. Lineage: Bacteria; Bacillati; Actinomycetota.
GCCCGGGUGGCGAAAUCGGCAGACGCGAGGGACUUAAAAUCCCUUGUCCCUAAGGGACGUGCGGGUUCAAUUCCCGCCCCGGGCA